UACGGGGGGGGCAAGCGUUGUUCGGAAUUACUGGGCGUAAAGGGCGCGUAGGUGGCCAACUAAGUCAGACGUGAAAUCCCUCGGCUUAACCGAGGAACUGCGUCUGAUACUGGAUGGCUGGAGUGUGGGAGAGGGAUGCGGAAUUCCAGGUGUAGCGGUGAAAUGCGUAGAGAUCAGGAAGAACACCGGUGGCGAAAGCGCUCUGCUAGGCCGCAACUGACACUGAGGGACGAAAGCUAGGGGAGCGAAUGGG
This 253-nucleotide ribosomal RNA is filed under the name uncultured bacterium. RNAcentral describes it as "partial 16S ribosomal RNA". It matches the Rfam family "Bacterial small subunit ribosomal RNA", at positions 524 to 776 of the family's 1533-position model. The record is from RNAcentral.